This 126-nucleotide non-coding RNA is filed under the name Octodon degus (degu). Lineage: Eukaryota; Metazoa; Chordata; Mammalia; Rodentia; Octodontidae. The record is from RNAcentral.
AUAGUGUAUGAAAGGAGAGAAGGUUAGCAAUCCCAUUGACAAGAAUGGAAGAGGCCCUUGGGCCUGACAACAUGCAUACAGUUAAGGCAUUGCCACCUACUUCAUGGUAUCUAACCAGUGUUUUUU